UACGGGAGGGUGCAAGCGUUAUCCGGAUUCACUGGGUUUAAAGGGUGCGUAGGUGGGGCGGUAAGUCAGUGGUGAAAUCUCCGAGCUUAACUUGGAAACUGCCAUUGAUACUAUCACUCUUGAAUAUUGUGGAGGUCAGCGGAAUAUGUCAUGUAGCGGUGAAAUGCUUAGAUAUGACAUAGAACACCAAUUGCGAAGGCAGCUGGCUACGCAUAUAUUGACACUGAGGCACGAAAGCGUGGGGAUCAAACAGG
RNAcentral lists this ribosomal RNA (254 nucleotides) under uncultured bacterium. RNAcentral's name for it is "partial 16S ribosomal RNA". It matches the Rfam family "Bacterial small subunit ribosomal RNA", at positions 524 to 776 of the family's 1533-position model. The record is from RNAcentral.